CUCAAAAUAGCCACCGGGCGCUCAGAUCGUAUCGUUGUUCAUGAAAAGCAAUAGUCAAUUCCUCCUUACCCUAAACCUAAACUCUCAUCGAUGGGGCUCGCUCGGAUGUUCAGAUUCAAUCGGACCUUCGCUCCGACCACACCUGAUCUCCAGCCCCAUCACCAAGAGAGGCUGAUAUCAAUAAUGGCUUCGAUUCAAGUCGAUUCUCCGACCGGUAAUCUUCGGUUUCGGGAUCCCAAUUCUUCGUUGAGAAUUGGGGUCUCAAUUCUUCGUUGAGAAUCGGUUCUCGCUUUCGGAAAAAGAUUUCGCUUAUGCAAGAGAGUUUUCUUACGAAUCUUUACCUUCUCGAUCUUCAUCUGCCGGCACCACUAUUAAUACCAAGCAACUGGCCUAGAAAUAUUAAAAGGAAGUCUUUUUCUGAUGCUAAGGCCCCCGGUAAUGCUGUAAUACAUGCAUGUCAAGUGACGACUUAACAGUCUACCAGCCUUUCUUUGCUGGAAAUUGGGCUCUAGUCUAUUAGAAGCGCUCUCAAGAACUUUUUCAUAGUCCAAUCGAAUUUUCAAAACAGUAAGAAUAGUUAUAUAAAUUGUACAAAUAUGCGACGGUGAACUUGAUUAGUUUUUCUUUCUAUAAUGUGAUGCAUGCAUUAGUACAGUUUAGAUUGGUAGAUUAGGAAUUGCACUGCAAUUGAUUGGUUUUUAUGUUUAAAUAAUGCCACUUCAGCUAUUGAUCUGCAGUCGGUAUAAUUUUUACAAAUGUAAUUUAUGUUUUGGCCCGAAAAAAUUAAAAUUUUAGUUCCGCCACUGCUUGGAAAUGAUGCGUCCUCACGAAUGAGCAUAUAGCGAACUUCUCAGAUAGUUCUCCAGUUCUUCUUGAUGUCCAUCCCUGGAUGCAAUGGAGCUGCGGUUCCAGUUAUUGUACAUUUGGUUGUACUUGUUUUAUCUGUUUCUUCUGUAUCUUUUGCUGCUAUGCUUUUGUGUAUCUGCAUUCAUUUGGUGGU
Prunus persica (peach) is the source of this 1000-nucleotide long non-coding RNA. RefSeq lists it as uncharacterized. The transcript is spliced from 2 exons. Lineage: Eukaryota; Viridiplantae; Streptophyta; Magnoliopsida; Rosales; Rosaceae. The record is from RefSeq and is a predicted model, not a curated record.